This 70-nucleotide transfer RNA is filed under the name Cylix sp. z GS-2022. RNAcentral's name for it is "tRNA-Phe". It matches the Rfam family "tRNA". Rfam says of the family: Transfer RNA (tRNA) molecules are approximately 80 nucleotides in length. The record is from RNAcentral. Lineage: Eukaryota; Metazoa; Chordata; Actinopteri; Syngnathiformes; Syngnathidae.
GUUUAUGUAGCUUAAAACUAAAGCAUAAUACUGAAGAUGUUAAAAUGAACCCUAUAAAGUUCCAUAAGCA